GAGCUUGCUCCUGGGUGACGAGCGGCGGACGGGUGAGUAAUGUCUGGGAAACUGCCUGAUGGAGGGGGAUAACUACUGGAAACGGUAGCUAAUACCGCAUAACGUCGCAAGACCAAAGAGGGGGACCUUCGGGCCUCUUGCCAUCAGAUGUGCCCAGAUGGGAUUAGCUAGUAGGUGGGGUAAUGGCUCACCUAGGCGACGAUCCCUAGCUGGUCUGAGAGGAUGACCAGCCACACUGGAACUGAGACACGGUCCAGACUCCUACGGGAGGCAGCAGUGGGGAAUAUUGCACAAUGGGCGCAAGCCUGAUGCAGCCAUGCCGCGUGUAUGAAGAAGGCCUUCGGGUUGUAAAGUACUUUCAGCGAGGAGGAAGGCGGUGAGGUUAAUAACCUCAUCGAUUGACGUUACUCGCAGAAGAAGCACCGGCUAACUCCGUGCCAGCAGCCGCGGUAAUACGGAGGGUGCAAGCGUUAAUCGGAAUUACUGGGCGUAAAGCGCACGCAGGCGGUCUGUCAAGUCGGAUGUGAAAUCCCCGGGCUCAACCUGGGAACUGCAUUCGAAACUGGCAGGCUAGAGUCUUGUAGAGGGGGGUAGAAUUCCAGGUGUAGCGGUGAAAUGCGUAGAGAUCUGGAGGAAUACCGGUGGCGAAGGCGGC
RNAcentral lists this ribosomal RNA (655 nucleotides) under Enterobacter sp. AT-BI-39. RNAcentral's name for it is "bacterial SSU rRNA". It matches the Rfam family "Bacterial small subunit ribosomal RNA", at positions 76 to 725 of the family's 1533-position model. Lineage: Bacteria; Pseudomonadati; Pseudomonadota; Gammaproteobacteria; Enterobacterales; Enterobacteriaceae. The record is from RNAcentral.